AGCGAACGCUGGCGGCAGGCCUAACACAUGCAAGUCGAACGAACCUUUCGGGGUUAGUGGCGGACGGGUGAGUAACACGUGGGAACGUGCCUUUAGGUUCGGAAUAACUCAGGAAAACUUGUGCUAAUACCGAAUGUGCCCUUCGGGGGAAAGAUUAAUCGCCUUUAGAGCGGCCCGCGUCUGAUUAGCUAGUUGGUUGAGGUAAUGGCUCACCAAGGCGACGAUCAGUAGCUGGUCUGAGAGGAUGAUCAGCCACAUUGGGACUGAGACACGGCCCAAACUCCUACGGGAGGCAGCAGUGGGGAAUCUUGCGCAAUGGGCGAAAGCCUGACGCAGCCAUGCCGCGUGAAUGAUGAAGGUCUUAGGAUUGUAAAAUUCUUUCACCGGGGACGAUAAUGACGGUACCCGGAGAAGAAGCCCCGGCUAACUUCGU
This 433-nucleotide ribosomal RNA is filed under the name uncultured bacterium. RNAcentral's name for it is "partial 16S ribosomal RNA". It matches the Rfam family "Bacterial small subunit ribosomal RNA", at positions 29 to 506 of the family's 1533-position model. The record is from RNAcentral.